Molecule: transfer RNA, 72 nt
Filed under: Sphaerodactylus townsendi
Lineage: Eukaryota; Metazoa; Chordata; Lepidosauria; Squamata; Sphaerodactylidae
Description: tRNA-Pro
Rfam family: tRNA
About the family: Transfer RNA (tRNA) molecules are approximately 80 nucleotides in length. Their secondary structure includes four short double-helical elements and three loops (D, anti-codon, and T loops).
Source: RNAcentral
GGGGGUGCAGCUCAGUGGGAGAGUACCUGCUUGGGAUGCAGAAGGUCCUGCGUUCAAUCCCAGGCACCUCCA